RNAcentral lists this ribosomal RNA (468 nucleotides) under uncultured bacterium. RNAcentral describes it as "partial 16S ribosomal RNA". It matches the Rfam family "Bacterial small subunit ribosomal RNA", at positions 28 to 507 of the family's 1533-position model. The record is from RNAcentral.
GACGAACGCUGGCGGCGUGCUUAACACAUGCAAGUCGAACGGAAAGGCCCUGCUUUUGUGGGGUGCUCGAGUGGCGAACGGGUGAGUAACACGUGAGUAACCUGCCCUUGACUUUGGGAUAACUUCAGGAAACUGGGGCUAAUACCGGAUAGGAGCUCCUGCUGCAUGGUGGGGGUUGGAAAGUUUCGGCGGUUGGGGAUGGACUCGCGGCUUAUCAGCUUGUUGGUGGGGUAGUGGCUUACCAAGGCUUUGACGGGUAGCCGGCCUGAGAGGGUGACCGGCCACAUUGGGACUGCGAUACGGCCCAGACUCCAACGGGAGGCAGCAGUGGGGAAUAUUGCACAAUGGGCGGAAGCCUGAUGCAGAAACGCCGCGUGCGGGAUGACGGCCUUCGGGUUGUAAACCGCUUUCGCCUGUGACGAAGCGUGAGUGACGGUAAUGGGUAAAGAAGCACCGGCUAACUACGUG